Molecule: long non-coding RNA, 1027 nt
Filed under: Heterocephalus glaber (naked mole-rat)
Lineage: Eukaryota; Metazoa; Chordata; Mammalia; Rodentia; Bathyergidae
Description: lncRNA (ENSHGLG00000037259.1)
Source: RNAcentral
GGCACCAAGGGGGUUCUACAGGAGCCCCUGGCUGUGGACUGGGCUCUGGGGCUCACCUGCCGGCCUCCGGGGCUCGCCAGGGGCCCCACACCUGCCCGGAGGUCGCUACUUCGUGGCCCAGCACUCUGGGCGACCCCAGCCCUCAUCGCAUGUCACUAGUCAUCGCAUUCUUGUCACUUCUGAGGCCCACGAGGCCAGGGCCAGACCGGGCAUCCACGCCGAGCUCCACCCCCAACAGCAGUGCCCUGCAGACAUCUGACGACUGAGCCGGUCCCCACAGGGAAGAGGAGGGCCCGAGGCCUAGGAGGACCUAGCUGCUCACCUGGCUCCUGGGGCUCAUCUCGGGGCCUGGCGGGCAGUGGGCGGGGGCCGCGUGGGCGAGGGCCAGGCCGGGCCAGGGCCACGGGCCCCAGGAACUCCACGUAGGUGCCCGGGAAGUCGCCCCGCUGCCGUGUGCGCUCGUUGAAGCCAGGCAUCCAGCCCACACUGUUCGGGCAGCGCUCGCCGCCCUCCGCCACACCGAGCGCCUGCAGGGCCGCACGGCUCACCACCAGCAUGUCGCCAGGCAGCAGCUCCAGGUCCUCAGGCCGCUCUCGCCGGAACGGGUACAGCGCGCGGUACUGGAAGCCCUCGGUGCCUGCCAUGCCACUGUGAGGGCUGCUGGGUCACAGUCACGCAGUGGCUCGGGGCCCCCGGGGCCCCAUGGGCCAGGGUGGGGACAGGAGGCUCAGCUGGGGGCUGGGGGCCCAGACCUCUCUGCAGGAGGAGUCACGGGUGACCCCGGGGGCCGCUCAUGCCUGGCUUCCCGCCAUGACUCCGCUAUGUGACCGCUGACUGCCACCUGUCCACCGUUCGCCAGCUGGUGGGAGGCUGUUGGUGGUUGAUGCCAGCUCACUCGGACACCGUGUUUACCAUCCAACAGUGGCGCAGGGCCAUCAGCACCCUGGGCUGCCAGCUCUUCCAGCCUCGCCACACGAGGAAGCUGAGGGUGAGGGCUGCCACCAUGCUCAGCUGGGGACGCCAACCU